GACCGUCUGUCGCCGUGUCGGCAGCAAUGCAGGCAAGGAGGAAAGUCCGGGCAACAUAGAGCGCCAUACUUCCUAACGGGAAGUCGCGGGCGACCGCGAAGACAAUGUAACAGAGAAUGACCGCCGGGUCCUGCGGGGUCCGGUAAGGGUGAAAAGGCGGGGUAAGAGCCCACCGGCCGCACGGUGACGUGAGGUGUCCGUACAUCUUAUGGGUUGCAAUGCCAAAUAUACCGGCAGUUAAGGAUGGCUCGUCCGUUGCCGGGGGGUAGGCAGCUUGAGCCGUGUCGUGAGGCACGGAGUAGAUAAAUGACAGACACGUGAUGGCUUAGGCCUGACCGUACAUAACCCGGCUUACAAGCCGACUGU
RNAcentral lists this RNase P RNA (366 nucleotides) under human gut metagenome. RNAcentral's name for it is "Bacterial RNase P class A". It matches the Rfam family "Bacterial RNase P class A". From Rfam's summary of the family: Ribonuclease P (RNase P) is a ubiquitous endoribonuclease, found in archaea, bacteria and eukarya as well as chloroplasts and mitochondria. Its best characterised activity is the generation of mature 5'-ends of tRNAs by cleaving the 5'-leader elements of precursor-tRNAs. The record is from RNAcentral.